GGGGAGCUUAUAAUUCCCAGCUGGAAGUCUCUUGGAUAGUGCCUUGUGAUGCUGAAGGCACCCACGCUCUCCUAACAGCAGCUUAAAGAAGUCUGGUCACUGGGCAGGAAGGGCAUUUCGGAAAGUUGAACCAAACCACUGCCUAAGCAUCUGGAACUAAAGCUUGGUGAUUAAUGCUCUGGCAGAGCACCUGGAGUGGGGUAAUAUACAGAGUGAAAUGGAGAAAUCAGAACUGAUGUUGAUUUGGCCCCAGUACCAAGUCAAUGUCACUGGGAAGCUUGAAGUCAACCGUAAGCACAGUGUGGUGAUGAGUGAGAACCAUCUUAAGCUGACAUCUUGGCCACCUCCCAGAUCUGGGCCUCAUGCACUCAUCCUAGGGGUGAGUGGUUUUCUGGGACUUCUGAUGACGUUCAACUUUGCAAAAACGAUGAACUCCUCCUCGGAGCAAAGCUCACGGCUCAGAACAAUUCGGCAGCAUCUUAAAGCAUCUGUAUGACCUGUAUGUACAGCACAGAGAGUGAAACUGAACUCAGUAACUGUUUCACCAAGCAGCAACUGGAAAAGGAUAGGAGGAACAAUAAGGCAUUUAUGCAAUGCUCCAUAUGCAUCAGCCUCAGCCAUCUGGGAUCCAGGUGAUCCGUGCUCCCAAGGACAUCCCAGACACACAGAGCGUUACCCGGGGCUGACCUACGCUCACAUCAGUUGCAUUCAUGAAACAACACAACCAAAGGAGGUGUCCAUGUCUUGCUGGAAGGAAUACCCCGAGAUAUUAAAAUGACUGUUUGUCCAAAAGUAUAUAUAUAUAUUAAUCCACAGAAACAAGAUUCCAAAAGAAAACUAAACACUGAACUUGGUCAGCUGAACUAUGUGACAGUGUUCUCUGAGCACUGCCUUGAUGCCAGUGCUAGUCUAGGCAGAGGGAGAACCUUAUCCUUGGUGCAUGUCAGCAGAUCAGUCCAAGAGUUCCAUGCAUAUCCCAAGUAUUGACAGCACCAAGUAUGGAUCCUGCUUGCACAGAAAGCUCUCCAUGUUUAAUUUGAAAUUAAGAUUUUUUUCAUUCUGAUUUUUUUCAAAACAAAAAUGAUGGAGCUAAAGUUCUAUGCAACCAGAAAAUCAAUGGAAAAGAAGGCCCUUUGAAAGCUAAAAGCUUCAAAUGCACUGCUGAUCUUCAAAACUUUGCAGAUAAAAGAAAAAAUAUCCGCCCAUUUCUGGAUUUCAUUGAAAUCAGAAAUUGCAUGCUCUGCACUCCCAUAUGAAUGUCAAAUCUUGCACCUCAUCAGCAUUUAUCAUUAUUCCCACUUAAAAAUGAAUCUGUCACAGAUGAAGUGGAAGGUCGAACGAGCUCAUUGGCCCCUGGCUGGUGCGUGCUUCCCAAAGCUAAAUUCCAGAAGAGUACACAAGAGGACAAAAAGGAUGCAGAAGAGCAACAGAAAGGAGCUCAGCUCGGGGAAAGAGGAGAGCUGCUUUCUGCACGGAUGUCUGAAAUGCCUAAACCAGCCUGAUGCUCACACCAGCUGAGCCAAACUCUGGCCUCCCUGGGGAGUAGCAUCAUGGUGGCCACAGCCUGGGGAGCUCCAGUUCAAUGAUAACCAAUUGUGGGGCUGUCCUCUAGGAAAGCAUCAGUUGCUUAAUGUUCCAUUGUUAAAAAUGGAUGGGAUUAAAGAAAAGUAAGGCCUAAAAAUACAGGCUCAAUGAACUUGCUGAGAAGGCGGCUUCUUUGCUGGAUCUUAAACCCUUGCUCAUCUCACAGUGUUUGUUUCUGUGAAGGUGUGCAUGCCGUUGUUCUACACACAUCUAAUAUAUGCAUGGCAGUGUGCCUCUUGGCUUUUUCUUUUUAUUUAAUCUUUGACUUGACAGCGUUGGAACUUGCUUCUCUGUGAAACUGGAGAAGGAGGGAUUGUUGUGUGCGUCAGGAUUUGCUAUUGUUUUGUUUCUUUCCCUUUUAUUGAGUUACAUAAAGAAUCCCAGCAAUUCCUGGCUGCUCCUGAGUGCUCAGGUGUCCAUUUGUUUAUUUUUGUUGGACUCAGGUUGUACUUGGUGCAAAGACCACCACAUUGGCCACCACUGGAUGGAUGGUUUAGGACACUGAUGAGGGCAGCUGGCCCAGCAAGGAGCCUUAUUUUUACAGCAGCAGAGAAACCUGCCCUUCACUUUUGUUUGGUUGCAUUUGUAACACCCUUCAAGUGUUUUUAAUUUGGGAUUUUCUUCUAGAUGAUCUCAGGAUGAACAACUUCCCCAGAACCCUCCUCCCAUGAAACAACAAUUCAUAAAACCAGAGAAGUGCCCAGGAGCAAAAUACCCUCCAGAUAAUUGAGAGCCAGCUUUGUGAAUUUCUGCUUUGAUAACAGAAAUCAUACAAAAAACUGAGCUGGAAGAAAUUUUUAAGGUCAUCUUACCCUUCCACCAGCCUCCAGAUAGGAUCUGCUGUGCUGAAGGUGCUGGAUUUCAGAUAGUUAUCUCAGCCAUUGCUCAGACCUUCCCAUGGCAGUGUUUUCACACAGCUAAUCAUCCCAGCAAUUCAUGAGUCUCACAACUGGAAAAUGUCUCUUAACAUCUCACCUGAAUUUCCUUUGUUGCACUUUAAGCCCAUUACUUCCUUUCCUGUCCCCAGCAGACAUGAAGAGCAGUUUAUCCUUCCUCUUUGCAGUAGCCUUUCACAUACUUGAAGGGUGUUAUCACGUCUAACCGUCUUCAAUCCCCUAGACUAAACAAACCCAACUCUUUCAGUCUUUCCUCAUAGCUCAUGUUUUCUAGCCCUCUGAUCGCUCUUGUUCCUGCCUUCCUGCUGGACGCUCUCCAGUUGGUCAACAACUGUCUUGGAGCCUGAUGCUCACAAGUGGACACAGAUUGAUUCAACAGGUUAUUUCAGGUCAAAAACAGAGAAGAGUAAUUUCGAAGUGGGAGACCCUCACCAUUAAUGACCUACUUGCACCAGCUGCAGCACCUCUGUGAAACUUGGCUCUGGGUCAAACUGGCAGUCUCCCUGAGAAGUGGUAUACUCACAGAUGAAUAUCAGCAACUCGGAUUCAUCCUGGAACCUAAAAGGCAGCUGAAGCCAAAAAAAAAAAAAAAAAGACAAACAACAUCCUCUCAAUAGUCUGUUAGUAGAAAACUCAGGGACAAAUGACAAAUGGCAUUGUCCUGUUGUCACAGAACAGGGGCUUCUUCCUUUCCAUUUCCCAACGCUUAUUCUUCAGCUGAAGGAACAUGCAGGUAUGUGUAAUAUUGCACUUGCGAAAAGUCCAAAGCAAGCCCCAGGAAGACUUGUCUGUACAUUCAGCACAGUGCAAAGCCUGGAGGGAGGUGAACUCACUUUGGAAAUCACGGCAUAUUGGCUUCUAAGCAAGGAGGAUGGACUUAUUCACUGGACCAUGCUGACACAGCUCUUGAGCUCCUGGUCCUGCUGCCAGCUCUAUGGCCAGCACUGGGAUCCUUGCAGCACACUUCAUCGUAUGGUGUGGAAUUGCCCUAAGAAGCUCAUUGGGUUGUGGGAAAGGUUUUUACUCCUAGAGUCAGUUUUCAGGGCAGAAGGACUUCUGCUGUCUGGCUUUCUUGUCACAUUGCAGACUUUUUCCCUUGAAAUUGCUCUUUCCAAACUAACCUUAAUACCCCUCAAAGAGCACUUCAUUAGCCAAAAUCUUUCGCUUCUGUCAAGAGAAGACAAUGGAAGGACGUGUCAAAACAGCUAUGCUGCUACACCUCAGGCAAGGCUCAGCUCUCUUCUGGGGAACUGCUCCAUUACAUAUUGGCUAGGAUUUGUGCCAAGAUUUGUCAGUUAAUAUUUGCAAAAUUUAAUCACAACAGCCCAGAUUCUGCAUUGCUUUAAUCCCAUUGAAUUGUUCCUUAGUCCGUGGCAAGCGCCUCCUGUUUCAAUUAGACCGUUCAUGGUUAUGGGUGCUUUUGAAUAAGAAGGGAUCAAAACCUCAUUCUAGAAAUCUGGUUUCAAAAUGUCUUCAUCCAAAAGAGGACUGCAUUUCAGCUUCUGAAUUCAUAGUAUAUUAUAAAAAGGGAAGGUUUAAAUGAAUACCAUACCUGGACCAUUGUAGCAAAUGACUGUGAGGACCAGACUUGCUGAGAAGAGGAGAUGAGUGCAGCUUGGCUCUUUGCAAUGCAUCUCCCUGGAAUUUUCCUCCUUUAAAUGAAAGAGAGAUCAAACCAGAAAAAUAAGCAGGUCCUACUCCAAGAGGCAGGAUUGCCUCCUGAGUGCCAGAUAAUAAUAAACGAUGUGUUUGUAAUCCAAAGCAGAGAGACACUGGCAUUUUCUUCGACAUCAAAUGCAAAAAGGGAACAAAUAGUUCUGUAAAGUGCUUUUACAAUGCAAGGUGAAAGAUCUUUCACAAGAGAGAGAAUACUCUCUGGGGACGGCUGUUUGUAUCUUUUCAUUUUACAUCAGCGUGAAGAAUCUGGAAAAAAAGGAGAACUGUAUACGUACCUAAUAGCACAUAAUUUGAGGAAGAAAAGAGAUGAAACUACUGUUAAGAAGAGUCAAUUAAAAAAAUAUACCCAGGAAGGAGAAGAGACUGAAGGGGAAAAAGCUUGUAAGCACUUCUUUGUGCUGAGGUUUUUUAUCUCAGCCCAAAAGUUCCUUCUGAAUGGAACUGCACAGAGGGGAAAUCCCACCUCCUCCGGGAGGCAGCCACUGUGGGACCUGGCGGGUGCUCCUGGCAGCAGCAGCACGGGGCUGCCAGGGAAGCAGAGGAUCCGUGCAGCCCAGCUGGGGGAAAUUAAUUCCAGCAGAACAGAGCUGAUUCAGUUAUAAUUUGACUAGACCUCUCCUCCACAAACACCACAUGCCCUCCAGAAUGAUAUGAGAGCAGCUCCAAAAGUAAUGCCUUCUGUGUUAAUAGGUUGGCCCACAACAUUAGAGGCAGACGUUGGUGGUACAGCAGCAGAGGUUGAACCUUCCCACCAGUAUUCCAUUACAUGUUGUUGCCGUGUGACAGAUGGCAGCAGAGGAACAGUCUGACACAAUGGCAUCUGACGUGGAAGUACGUAAGAAGCAAAGGUGUGUCACUGAAUUCCUCCAUGUGGAAAAAAAUGGCACCCACUGACGUUCACCAAUGACUGCUGAAUGUUUACGGAGACCAAACAGUGGACGUGAGCACGGUGAAAGCUGGACAGUGUGGGCAACGUUUUCCUAGCAACAAUGCCAUCGUAGCAGCUGGGAAACAGUGGGUCACUUCUGCUGGUGCAGAUUUUUAUGAGCAUGUCAUGCAGGCUCUUGUUCAUUGCUGGUGAAAACACAGAGCUAAUGGUGGUGACUGUGUUGAAAAGUACUGUUUUGUAGUUAAGAAUUUGCUCUAUCAAAUACUGUUAUUGUGCUCUUUGUAUCUGUUGUGGUUUCCAUGAAAAUGAAUAGGAGGCACUACUUCUGGAGUGACCUACAUAUUUCAUGCAAUCGUAUAGUCUGGGCUCAGUCCUGUGCCCCAUCAGAAGAUUAGAGGGCAGGAUUAAACUUUGUGCAGAACAUUUUACCUCUGUGCAUCAAUUCCACCUUUUAAAAAGUGUGACGAGCUUUAUUCUCUGGUUAUUUCCUAAAGACACAGGUUGGCUCAGCAGUCCUGGCUUCCACUGGAACACCUGCUCUUUACAGGCUCUGCUGACUGAAGGACAAGGUAAUUAGGUAACUUACCCAAAGGUCACAUGGUGAGUAAAGUAGGAUUAGCGCUCAAGUUCCUCCUGGCAACUAGUCCUGUGCUGCGACAAUUAGAAAAGGUUAACCAUCCUCUUUUAGCUUUUGUUUUCCAUCUUCCAGAAUGUGGCAGCACGUACGCAGGGCUGGGCUGCCUCACAUUUCCUCAGCACUAUUUUGGAAAAAGAAGAAAACACAAAAGAAAGCAAACAAAGAACUCACCCCUGAAAGAGCUUUGAAAAGCCAUCGUAUCUGGUAGGAUGUGGCGCUUAAGAGAGAACGGAGCAAAUACUGGAUUAAGCUAAGCACACUGAAUAUGAAUUCUGGAAAAUGACCUGCUCCCUCGAUAAUCCCCAAAGCAGCACACACAGCCACUGUGCAACGCUUUGUCAUGCUGCUUCCUGUCUUUGCUCAGAAGCCAGCCUGGCUUCCUUGCCCAUCUACCCCAUAGGUGAGGCAAACAUUAGCAAAGGCUCUGCUGGAGUUGUCCUGCCUCAGCUCCUUCUUGCCUGAGACUUCUUGUCCAGGUCCCCUUGCACAGGCAUAAGACAAUGGGAAGAGUCCCAUUGGUACUGGGUGUACCCCACAAAACGUCUGGUUCCUCUUGGUGGGUUGUCCAAGGGCCUGGGCAGACAGCUCUUCUUGGGCGCAGCCAAGUGCUGGUCUUCCUUCCUUGGGGAAGUUUAGUGCUACUUUUGUUAGGACAGCAUAAGUCAUCUAAAGGACUUCUGCAUGUGCCACAUGGAUGCCCCUUUAGACACAAUUUUGGUGGCAUCUAGAUAAGAAAAUCACCACACUCUGUGCUGUCUGCUCCCAAAGCCAUUCAGUGGGACUCUUCCUAUUGGCCUAUGCAGUGUCUCUGCAAGCCAGGGACCUUGGCUGUUUCCAAGAGAGCCUUCCACUUUCCAAAGAAGGUGGACCUCCAGAGUCCUCCUCCGGUCCCUCCAGUGCCACUCCUCCCUCCUUCUCUUGUUGGUGACUGAACACAAAGGUCAGCUGCUUACCACUGAACGCAUUUCAACCACAACCUUCAGAGGACGUGUGUGAGACAGGCUCACCUGCCAUAGUCCCAGAAGGUUCAUCCUGCACUAGGCAGUGUAACUGGGUGAUGUAUUCCUCUUUCCCACUAUAAAUAUAGCCCUAGGGUAAAGGGUUGCAAUAAAAGAAAAUCCUUUCGCCUACUGCACUAUGCAGUGGCAGUGCAGUCAUUUAUUUCCCUGCCUGCUAACUGCUUGAAAUUCAGGUAGCUCUAUGAGCUGGGAAUUUACUGGAUCAUUCAUCAUAAAGCAGCUGUUUCAGAGUCAGACAGGGACCACAGCUUCCCAAAUACUAGUUGUCAGGAUUUGCAUUACUUAAAUUCGCAGUCAUUGAGAGUAUUUGCAAAAGCGAGCCCUAUUCCUAGGCUGUGAGUGGGACAGCUUGACUUUAAAGAGUCAGCUCAUAUUUCUUAUGUGUUAGAAAGAGCACCUGUUUAAACUAUGUAGAUCUGACGAACAGUGGGUAUGUUUUGGGCACUGACCCGUUAAUAGAAAGGGUGGGGCUUUGCAGUCAUUAACAGCAAUCAGCAACUGAAACAAACACAGUGAAAUAAAUCAGCGUUUUCUUUAAUCCAAGGAUAGGCAGGAGGGUGAAGACCAGGACUGAAAUAAACUUCCAACACCUCAUGUCUCAUCCCCAGUUGCUGGCCCUCUCACGUGCCAAGAGUUGAGACACACCGAGAGUUGAGAACCUCAGAAACAUCGCUGUUUCUAUUCCUGCAGCAGUCCCAAGCACUAGUUUGUUAUUAAUGACUCCGAACUGGCAAAAGAGUCCGGAGCAAGACAUUAUAAUCAGAGCAUCUCACACUAAGAUACCAUACUAUCCACUCUAAGAGCUUUUCGUAAACCUUGAUUAAAACUCUAAGAGGAAAGGGCAAGCUUUCUCUGUGCAUUUUUAUCAGCAAGCAAUGGUGAGUUUGCAUGUUUUGCCACCUCCUUGUCACUCACUGCAGAAGUACUCAGAGGGAACAUGACUGCCCAUCUGAACCAAAGAUUUCCCUCAGCCAACUCCCCUGCAACCACAUCCCCUCACGAGUUCUUUCAGCAAGACCCUUAGAUUCUACCACUUUGGUUCUACCAUUCAUAAACUGAUGUGCAAGCAGCUACAUCUGCUCAUCCGCCUUUGUGAAAGCACCCAUCCAUCAGCCACCUAAAAUAAGCAGCUGGAGUUACCCCUCACCUACAGCUCUGAGGACAUCACCGAGUUUGUGUAACCUUGGGUGGCUGCCUGCUCCUGGGGCAGUCCUGGCAAAUGCAGUUCUCACCUGCUCUGUGCAUUAGCAUUGUCCAUCUCAGCGGCCCAAAAGGUUGGGUGCAGGGUUAUGUAUGCCUUCUGAAAUGGGCAGUGAUCUCUUCCACGGCCACUGAGCUCAGAAAGCAUGCCCUGUACCUACAAGACCAGUCACCCACCAAAAAGUGAAAUGGCAGAAAGCACUUGUGUACAAAGCGCUCAUGGCAUUUGCACAGGGCCUUGACUGGGUGCUGGACACAUAAUACUUCUGGAGACUCUGUAAGUCAUGCACAGCCCCUGCUGUAUCACAGCCAUGUAUGGUCACUUGUGACUUGGUAAUGUCAUUAGAGGUCACCAGCACCACCAAAAAUUCUUCAGCCUGGAAUUGUUUUAUGAAAGAUCAAACCUUUCAAAAAUAAUAAAUUUUUCACUACAUCAAAGACAGUUUACUAACAUUCAAUGAAAACCUUUUCCUUAGAUUCUGGAAGAAGGAACGAGCCUCAUAAAAUAAUAAAUAUCUUUGCAUUUUAUCUCCUAUGCCUCUAUCUAUGGAGGUAUUUAUAUGGCCCCCAUAACUGGUCUCUGGGCCCUUACCUGACCUGAUUAGAGAACAGAUCUACUAAACAAAGCCAUGAUUUGUGUGCACACCAAACUGGUCUUCUUAAUAUAGCUUUCUGGAGGAGAGACAAAUUUGCUAGGGAAGUGGAGUUAAUAAGAAAUGAGUUGCUGCAACAAGUUUAUUUGUUGUAGAGGACACUGUUUGGUUGCAACACGUUUUUUUUUUUGUUGUUGCUGUUUGGUUGAUGCCAUGCAAUUUAAAGAGUUUAUCCCUUAAGGGCAGACAGAAGAGCCAAUCAAAACACCGGGGGCCUGAAACUUCACUAUACAUCUCAUCUUUUGCAAAGCAGAAGCAUUCAUAUACCUGAGUCUCGGCCCACUGGUGAAUUCCCCAUGAGUGGGGAUAUCAACAGAAGAGAUCCUACAAUCUCUUUGCAGAGAAGUAGGACAAAUGAAAGUGACCAGACCCAUGGUGCACCGCAGCUACCCUACAUGCCAGAAGAGGCAUCUCUGUCCCUUUGCCACUGCCUGGUCCAGUCCCAGCCUCGGGGCUGCCUUGUCCCUGUAGCCAUGCCCUGUUUAUGGGAAUGGGGGAUGAGUGCUGAGCCUCACUUCUACUUCAAUGGGGACUCUGCACUCUGCUGAUAGGAGGGAACAAGUUGCAACUUUCCUGAGAGCGAAAGGCCACUGCCCUUGGAAGAGCACCUGCACAAUAAGUCGUUUUGGAGGAUUGCUGGGCCAACCUGGGAUGCUGGAACUUGUAAGCUAGCAGCACCAAAAGGUAUGCCAUGCCCAAUCUCUGAAGCAAUACCACAAUCUGCACUGCUCUCCAAAGCAGCACUCUUACACUUCCAGAUGAUCUCAGACAACACCUGGGAGGCCCCAGCCACUGACUCGGAGAUGCCACUUGAAGUCAUGGAGGGGCUUAAGAGGCCAAGAGACUUUUUUUGCAGGGUUUACUUCUUGAAAUGCUUUCACCCCAUUGAAAGAUGGAAUGCCAAAACCAGGCACAAAACCUCUCAAAGAAAGCCCUUCCAGGCUCCAGCUCAGCAUGCCACCUGCCGUCAUCAUUUCUCCAACUGUUCUCAGGGGGCUCUUACAGCAGACGCAUUGGGCUGCAGCCAAGUUGGCAUGAAGUUUGCAUGAAUCUUGAGACAUUUUAUGACCUUAAUAAUGUUUAGCAGAAAUAAGCAGGGCUGUUUGCAGCUCAGGCCCAACCUAGUUAAAAGCAUUUCUUAGCAGGGUGGUGGGCACAUAAAUCAGUGUCUAUCCUCUUGCCUCUCUGUCAUUGACCUUUCUGUGGGAGGAGAAGCUGCACAGAGACAUGCGGAUUGCAGAGUACGCUCAUGUGCCAUUGUGCUGGCACCGUAUCCAUUACGAGCUUCUGCCCUUAUUCUUAGAGGACAUGUUCCAGUAAUAAUAUACCCCAGUGAACUUUUCCAUUAUGAGAUCAUGAUUUCUUCCAUGGGAGAUUCAGUAACACGUUACAAUUUACUAGCCUUUAGUUAGCCAGUAAGAAUUUUCUCACUGCAGCAAUGCAGUGCUGCACUUUUCUGAAGUGAUAAAGUCGUGUUCAACCUUUUAAACAGAGAUUCACUUCCACUUUUACACCUGUGAAAAGGAAACUUUUCUUGCAGAAAACUGAGCCUGCAUUUUCAUAUACUGCAUUUUAUACACCUGAUUUAUGCUUCCCGUCAGACAGCUCUGAAGGCCAAAUACUUGGACUGACAACCAUGAAAAAAUUGUGAGCACAGGGACAAAAAGCAAAUGCUAAUUUUGCUACUGAGAUCUCUGAAAGGGAGAUUUAUACUUUUGAAAAUGCCUAAAAAGAAACUCAUGAUGUUGCGAAUAAAGCGUCAAUAUAUUUUAACCAGGACAGGGCAUCACUGUUGAUUUAUAUUGAUGUAAUAUAAUCAUGCUUGUUACAAUCAUUUCAAAGGGAAGAUAUUCACAGAGAAGUGCAAUGGAUGACUCAGGUCUUUGUCACAGCAAAACAAUAAAAACUGCAGAAUUUAUAGCUGUAUAAUCAGGUUUUUAUUAACACCAAAUGUAAUUAGAUAACAAAGUCCAUCUCCUAAGCCUUUUCUCAAGACUUGAUCUGACCAAAGUUCUUCCCUCAAGAGGCUUUGUUUAGCUCAGAUCCUAGAUUGCAUGAAAAUGGUUCUUGGUUAGAAAACUGCACCCUACAGAGAGACUUAAGGAACUCUAUCUAUUUGGCUGAUCAAAGAGACAGCUAAGAGACAACUUGAUGGGGUUUAAGAGUGUCUGCGCAAAAAGCAUCUAGAAAGAGGGGUUCUUUGCUUGGAAAUGUGUAAGUUGAAGUGUGAAUAAUUAAGAGCAGAAACAAGCCUUUAACAGUGAAGGCAUUAGCACUGCAGUAGAUUCUCAUGAGACUUCCAGAUUUUCCAUUCUUUGAGGUUUUUCAUAGACAACAUCUCUCUCCCGACCCCCCCCCCCCCCCCCCCAAAAAAUAAGGCAGAUCAUUGGUGGGGCCAAACAUAAAAUAAAAAGAUUGACUGCAUGAAAAAGCUACUGCUCAUGGCUUGGCUCAAGUAGGUAUUCACAUAAAUAUUUCUAGAGCCCCAAUCCAUUGCCUUAUCUGCAUCAGUAGGCUGCAGAUCCCAUCUUCAUGGCCAGUCUUGAAACAUGCCUAGGCACUGGCUCUGUGCAGAGGUGGAGCCUCAAACAAAACUGCUUUGUUUUCCAGCCAUUACCCCAUUCUUCAGGACCAUGGCUGACUGGAAGAUCUGGUGCUCCACUGUAAGUUUAGAGUAUGUGGUUGGUAGUUUGAAAAUGUAAUGGGAACAUUUAGCUCCUUUCUCAGUAUGUGAAGUGCACAGAAGAUGAAAUUCAGAUUAUAAAGAUCUGCACACAUUUCUUUCUCUCAGUGUUCUCUCUAUGCCGGAGUAAUUUUAAGUUUGGGUCAGCUCAACUCAUACAUCAGACCUGCUCCCAGUAUGAAAAUCACACUGGAUUCUUCCUUCUCCCCAGAACUGAUUCUAGGUCCUUGAAAUAAUCUCACAAGAGUCUUCUUCAAAUAGCUUUUUUAAUCCCUUCAGUUCUUUGCCCUGUCCUAUUUCCAUUCUCCGACGCUCUCUUUGUAGAUAUGAGCCACGUUCCCACCGACGUCAUUACCAUAUCAAUUGUUUGCUCCGAGGACGGUCAUUAUGACUCCGUUUGUCUCUGUUAUUACUCGUUGCCCUUAGACUGGUGCUAGAGGCCUUGUCGGCACAGCCAGAAACAGAAAACACUGCGUGAUAGGGCAAUGACCAUAGCAACAACAUCACAUUAAUCAGGGUUUGUACUCCGUGUGAAGACAAACUUCCCAAACCAUCAAACUGUGUGAUACAAGAGAGCAUAAAGUUCCCUAUCAGUUGAGAAACUACAAAUCCCCCAAAUAUUCACUCCUAGACCUUCCUUCUGCAGGUGAGAGCAUGAAUUGGCCUCCAACAGGUUAACCCCUCAUAACACUUUCAGAGGAUAAUCAACACUUAAUGUCACGGUAGAUGUUAGAGCAAAAGACAUCUGAGCCUUCUGAAGCUUUUAGUUUGCAGCCCUCAUUGGGUGCUGAUAAUUUGGUUUCCCUCAAUUUAGGGAACACGAUUCAGACAGUUAAGGCUGAGCAGCAAACCUUACAAAUGCCAUGGGAUUUCUAGAAUUUAGGCUGAUUCAGG
This 12132-nucleotide long non-coding RNA is filed under the name Gallus gallus (chicken). RNAcentral describes it as "lncRNA (ENSGALG00010021571.1)". Lineage: Eukaryota; Metazoa; Chordata; Aves; Galliformes; Phasianidae. The record is from RNAcentral.